Long non-coding RNA from Pseudophryne corroboree (corroboree frog), 753 nucleotides. RefSeq lists it as uncharacterized. The transcript has 3 exons. The record is from RefSeq and is a predicted model, not a curated record. NCBI's taxonomy places the organism in Eukaryota, Metazoa, Chordata, Amphibia, Anura, Myobatrachidae.
CCUGCAGUGCAGCCAACAAUGACAGGAGAAAAAAAAAUCCUGCCACCACCAAUGACAACCGUCCACUCAGCACUCAUCCCCCAAAUCGGCAAAAAUCCCAUCAACCCACAAAGCAGUUAGAAGCUCCUUCCCCCUGACCAUCCUAAGUACUGCCAUCUGCAUCCAAAGCUGUGUCCCUCUGUAGCCUGAAGCCCAUUAACCCUCCCCUCCCUCAGUACCUGAUUUCAGUUGGCAGCACCCAUGAGACAGUCUAAAGCCCCGCCUCCUGUGUCCCUUGGUUGCCUGAAGCCCAUUUACCCUCCCACAACUCCCUCAGCAACUGAGUUCAGUAGGCAGCAGGGCACUAAAAUGUGAAAAUCUGCACAAUGUGGGUGGAGGACAGAGGCUGAGCAGAGGAGGAAAAGCUGCUGUCUCCAGCUGCGCAGAGAAACCAACAGGCAUACUUAAAGUACCUUCCUACAGAAAAAAUGUUUUCUGAGUAUAUAGGUCUGGAGACCACAUACUGGUUCCCCACAGGCUCAUACAUUGCUCCCAGUUAUAUAGCAAGCAGUCUGUGACUUAAAUCCAACAAGAAGAUGCAAGAAAAACAGGCUGAACAAGGGAGGAAACAAAAUAAAUAUUACGGCACCGGUAGACUAAAUAACAAGGUGCAUACAGUCCACAGUAGCUUUACAUGGUGGUCCUAUUCCCUGAUACUGUAAGUGAUUUUAUACUGGUGAUUCCAUCUUUCGUAUGUAUAUUUCCAUUAAUUGA